RNAcentral lists this ribosomal RNA (460 nucleotides) under uncultured bacterium. RNAcentral's name for it is "partial 16S ribosomal RNA". It matches the Rfam family "Bacterial small subunit ribosomal RNA", at positions 338 to 795 of the family's 1533-position model. The record is from RNAcentral.
CCUACGGGAGGCAGCAGUGAGGAAUAUUGGUCAAUGGGCGGGAGCCUGAACCAGCCAAGUCGCGUGAGGGAAGACGGUCCUAUGGAUUGUAAACCUCUUUAGGCGGGGGGCAAUGCCGGGCACGCGUGCCCGGAGGGAGAGUACCCGCAGAAUAAGCAUCGGCUAACUCCGUGCCAGCAGCCGCGGUAAUACGGGGGAUGCGAGCGUUAUCCGGAUUUAUUGGGUUUAAAGGGUGCGUAGGGGUAUUUUUAAUUCAGCGGUAAAAUGUCCGGGCUCAACCCGGGCCGGCCGUUGAAACUGGUGAUCUUGAGUGGGCGAGAAGUAUGCGGAAUGCGUGGUGUAGCGGUGAAAUGCAUAGAGAUCACGCAGAACUCCGAUUGCGAAGGCAGCAUACCGGGGCACGACUGACGCUGAGGCACGAAAGCGUGGGGAGCGAACAGGAUUAGAUACCCUUGUAGUC